This 76-nucleotide transfer RNA is filed under the name Candidatus Bathyarchaeota archaeon. Its description in RNAcentral is "tRNA-Thr". It matches the Rfam family "tRNA". Rfam says of the family: Transfer RNA (tRNA) molecules are approximately 80 nucleotides in length. Their secondary structure includes four short double-helical elements and three loops (D, anti-codon, and T loops). The record is from RNAcentral. Lineage: Archaea; Thermoproteati; Candidatus Bathyarchaeota.
GCCCCGGUGGCUUAGCGGUUAGAGCAACGGCCUUGUAAGCCGUGGGUCGCGGGUUCGAAUCCCGCCCGGGGCUCCA